GACGAACGCUGGCGGCGUGCUUAACACAUGCAAGUCGAACGAUGAAGCGGGUGCUUGCACUCGUGGAUUAGUGGCGAACGGGCGAGUAACACGUGAGUAACCUGUCCUUUUCUUUGGGAUAACGGCUGGAAACGGCUGCUAAUACUGGAUAUUCAGGCUGCAUCGCAUGGUGUGGUUUGGAAAGGUUUUUUCUGGGAUUGGGUGGGCUCGCGGCCUAUCAGCUUGUUGGUGGGGUGAUGGCUUAUCAAGGCUUUGACGGGUAGCCGGCCUGAGAGGGUGGUCGGUCGCACUGGGACUGAGAUACGGCCCAGACUCCUACGGGAGGCAGCAGUGGGGAAUAUUGCACAAUGGACGAAAGUUUGAUGCAGCGACGCCGCGUGGAGGGUGUAGGCCUUCGGGUUGUGAACUCCUUUUUCUCGCGAAAAAGGCACAGUUUUGGCUGUGUUGAUGGUAGUGGGGGAAGAAGCGCCGGCUAACUACGUG
Molecule: ribosomal RNA, 483 nt
Filed under: uncultured bacterium
Lineage: Bacteria
Description: partial 16S ribosomal RNA
Rfam family: Bacterial small subunit ribosomal RNA
Source: RNAcentral